AGAGUUUGAUCAUGGCUCAGAUUGAACGCUGGCGGCAGGCCUAACACAUGCAAGUCGAGCGGUAGCACAGAGAGCUUGCUCUCGGGUGACGAGCGGCGGACGGGUGAGUAAUGUCUGGGAAACUGCCUGAUGGAGGGGGAUAACUACUGGAAACGGUAGCUAAUACCGCAUAACGUCGCAAGACCAAAGUGGGGGACCUUCGGGCCUCAUACCAUCAGAUGUGCCCAGAUGGGAUUAGCUAGUAGGUGGGGUAACGGCUCACCUAGGCGACGAUCCCUAGCUGGUCUGAGAGGAUGACCAGCCACACUGGAACUGAGACACGGUCCAGACUCCUACGGGAGGCAGCAGUGGGGAAUAUUGCACAAUGGGCGCAAGCCUGAUGCAGCCAUGCCGCGUGUGUGAAGAAGGCCUUCGGGUUGUAAAGCACUUUCAGCGGGGAGGAAGGCGAUAAGGUUAAUAACCUUAGCGAUUGACGUUACCCGCAGAAGAAGCACCGGCUAACUCCGUGCCAGCAGCCGCGGUAAUACGGAGGGUGCAAGCGUUAAUCGGAAUUACUGGGCGUAAAGCGCACGCAGGCGGUCUGUCAAGUCGGAUGUGAAAUCCCCGGGCUCAACCUGGGAACUGCAUUCGAAACUGGCAGGCUAGAGUCUUGUAGAGGGGGGUAGAAUUCCAGGUGUAGCGGUGAAAUGCGUAGAGAUCUGGAGGAAUACCGGUGGCGAAGGCGGCCCCCUGGACAAAGACUGACGCUCAGGUGCGAAAGCGUGGGGAGCAAACAGGAUUAGAUACCCUGGUAGUCCACGCCGUAAACGAUGUCGAUUUGGAGGUUGUGCCCUUGAGGCGUGGCUUCCGGAGCUAACGCGUUAAAUCGACCGCCUGGGGAGUACGGCCGCAAGGUUAAAACUCAAAUGAAUUGACGGGGGCCCGCACAAGCGGUGGAGCAUGUGGUUUAAUUCGAUGCAACGCGAAGAACCUUACCUGGUCUUGACAUCCACAGAACUUNGGCCGGGAACUCAAAGGAGACUGCCAGUGAUAAACUGGAGGAAGGUGGGGAUGACGUCAAGUCAUCAUGGCCCUUACGACCAGGGCUACACACGUGCUACAAUGGCAUAUACAAAGAGAAGCGACCUCGCGAGAGCAAGCGGACCUCAUAAAGUAUGUCGUAGUCCGGAUUGGAGUCUGCAACUCGACUCCAUGAAGUCGGAAUCGCUAGUAAUCGUAGAUCAGAAUGCUACGGUGAAUACGUUCCCGGGCCUUGUACACACCGCCCGUCACACCAUGGGAGUGGGUUGCAAAAGAAGUAGGUAGCUUAACCUUCGGGAGGGCGCUUACCACUUUGUGAUUCAUGACUGGGGUGAAGUCGUAACAAGGUAACCGUAGGGGAACCUGCGGUUGGAUCACCU
This 1400-nucleotide ribosomal RNA is filed under the name Klebsiella pneumoniae. Its description in RNAcentral is "bacterial SSU rRNA". It matches the Rfam family "Bacterial small subunit ribosomal RNA". The record is from RNAcentral. Lineage: Bacteria; Pseudomonadati; Pseudomonadota; Gammaproteobacteria; Enterobacterales; Enterobacteriaceae.